RNAcentral lists this small RNA (314 nucleotides) under Sinorhizobium meliloti 2011. Its description in RNAcentral is "putative ncRNA". The record is from RNAcentral. Lineage: Bacteria; Pseudomonadati; Pseudomonadota; Alphaproteobacteria; Hyphomicrobiales; Rhizobiaceae.
GCAACCCCGCGCGGAGGGGUCGUCGGAGAUUUAGACGUGACGAAGUCGGUGGCCUGUCCAACUGGAGCGGGCUGAGGAGAAGAGGUCGACUCGACCUAAGAGCAUCGUGAUCUAGGAAUGCAGCUGCCGCGAUCCCGCAGAUCUCGGUUUGGCUGCCGGCAGCGGCGCCGGCUGGCCACAAUAGACGGGGUACAGCGUCGGCUCGGACAGAAGGAAGCCCUGCACAUGCGUUGCGCCGGCCUUUUUGACGGCUUCGAGCUGUCCGUAGGUCUCGAUGCCCUCGAUGAUCACCGUCGGCGCGACGCAUGAAGCGA